CACUUUUAGUGGCUCCUCUUAUACUAUCUAACCCCUAAAUGUUGAAAUCUAUUUUUCCUAUGCAGGUGAUGGGGUUCAGGGCAUGACCCCCCCCCCACCCCGCCCCCCGCAAGAUGCACCACUCUGGACCCAGGCUGAGAGAGCAGCCACCAAACUGAAACUUGCAGGUUGCUGUGACAAAAGGAAGUAAGAUUCUGAAGGGCCUCACACCAGCAAUGAAAAGCUCUAGUCUACCUGGAAGAAUGAAUCCACAGAAUGUGACCUCAUUCUCCCUACUCAGGAUUCUAGUUGGCUCACUUCAGUCAAGUUGCCUUAAACUUUUCUAAAAGUCAAGAACAGUCUGGAAAUACAUAUAUUC
RNAcentral lists this long non-coding RNA (358 nucleotides) under Equus asinus (donkey). RNAcentral describes it as "lncRNA (ENSEASG00005026108.1)". Lineage: Eukaryota; Metazoa; Chordata; Mammalia; Perissodactyla; Equidae. The record is from RNAcentral.